AACACUUACGUAUUUUGUGCAUUCGAUUGAGACAUGAACAUGUUUGAGUGACUGUUUUUGAAGUAUUCAACUUAAGAUUCUUGCUUCACACAAUGACUAGAGUGACAGGAGGAAAGAAUAAAAUUCCGUACGAGAUGGACUUUAAUUUAAAGGUACCAUGAUGUUCUCGAUGUCCUUGUGACGCGGAAUACUACUGUACAGCGUGC
Saccostrea cuccullata (small rock oyster) is the source of this 206-nucleotide long non-coding RNA. RefSeq lists it as uncharacterized. NCBI's taxonomy places the organism in Eukaryota, Metazoa, Mollusca, Bivalvia, Ostreida, Ostreidae. The transcript has 3 exons. The record is from RefSeq and is a predicted model, not a curated record.